GACGAACGCUGGCGGCGUGCUUAACACAUGCAAGUCGAACGGUGAAGCGCCUUCCUUUUUGGUGGGUGUGGAUGAGUGGCGAACGGGUGAGUAACACGUGAGUAACCUGCCCCCUUCUUCUGGAUAACCGCAUGAAAGUGUGGCUAAUACUGGAUAUUCUGGGUCUGUCGCAUGAUGGGUCUGGGAAAGAUAUUGUUUCGGUGGGGGAUGGGCUCGCGGCCUAUCAGCUUGUUGGUGGGGUGAUGGCCUACCAAGGCGGUGACGGGUAGCCGGCCUGAGAGGGUGGACGGUCACACUGGGACUGAGACACGGCCCAGACUCCUACGGGAGGCAGCAGUGGGGAAUAUUGCACAAUGGGCGCAAGCCUGAUGCAGCGACGCCGCGUGAGGGAUGGAGGCCUGCGGGUUGUGAACCUCUUUCGCCAGUGAAGCGGGCCUGCCUCGUUUGUGGGUGGGUUGACGGUAGCUGGAUAAGAAGCGCCGGCUAACUACGUG
This 494-nucleotide ribosomal RNA is filed under the name uncultured bacterium. RNAcentral describes it as "partial 16S ribosomal RNA". It matches the Rfam family "Bacterial small subunit ribosomal RNA", at positions 28 to 507 of the family's 1533-position model. The record is from RNAcentral.